GACGAACGCUGGCGGCGUGCUUAACACAUGCAAGUCGAACGGAGUGCCUAUGAUAGAGACUUCGGUCAAUGGAUUAGGUUACUUAGUGGCAAACGGGUGAGUAACGCGUAAGCAACCUGCCCUUCAGAUGGGGACAACAGCUGGAAACGGCUGCUAAUACCGAAUUCGUUCUUUUGUCGCAUGGCAGAGAGAAGAAAGGGAGGCUCUUCGGAGCUUUCGCUGAAGGAGGGGCUUGCGUCUGAUUAGCUAGUUGGAGGGGUAACGGCCCGACCAAGGCGACGAUCCAUAGCCGGCCUGAGAGGGUGGACGGCCACAUUGGGACUGAGACACGGCCCAGACUCCUACGGGAGGCAGCAGUGGGGAAUAUUGCACAAUGGGGGGAAACCCUGAUGCAGCGACGCCGCGUGAGCGAAGAGUAUUUCGGAUGUAAAGCUCUAUCAGCAGGGAAGAAAAUGACGGUACCUGACUAAGAAGCCCCGGCUAACUACGUGCCAG
This 495-nucleotide ribosomal RNA is filed under the name uncultured bacterium. Its description in RNAcentral is "bacterial SSU rRNA". It matches the Rfam family "Bacterial small subunit ribosomal RNA", at positions 28 to 511 of the family's 1533-position model. The record is from RNAcentral.